GAUGAACGCUGGCGGCGUGCCUAAUACAUGCAAGUCGAGCGAACGGACGAGAAGCUUGCUUCUCUGAUGUUAGCGGCGGACGGGUGAGUAACACGUGGAUAACCUACCUAUAAGACUGGGAUAACUUCGGGAAACCGGAGCUAAUACCGGAUAAUAUUUUGAACCGCAUGGUUCAAAAGUGAAAGACGGUCUUGCUGUCACUUAUAGAUGGAUCCGCGCUGCAUUAGCUAGUUGGUAAGGUAACGGCUUACCAAGGCAACGAUGCAUAGCCGACCUGAGAGGGUGAUCGGCCGCACUGGAACUGAGACACGGUCCAGACUCCUACGGGAGGCAGCAGUAGGGAAUCUUCCGCAAUGGGCGAAAGCCUGACGGAGCAACGCCGCGUGAGUGAUGAAGGUCUUCGGAUCGUAAAACUCUGCUAUUAGGGAAGAACAUAUGUGUAAGUAACUGUGCACAUCUUGACGGUACCUAAUCAGAAAGCCACGGCUAACUACGUGCCAGCAGCCGCGGUAAUACGUAGGUGGCAAGCGUUAUCCGGAAUUAUUGGGCGUAAAGCGCGCGUAGGCGGUUUUUUAAGUCUGAUGUGAAAGCCCACGGCUCAACCGUGGAGGGUCAUUGGAAACUGGAAAACUUGAGUGCAGAAGAGGAAAGUGGAAUUCCAUGUGUAGCGGUGAAAUGCGCAGAGAUAUGGAGGAACACCAGUGGCGAAGGCGACUUUCUGGUCUGUAACUGACGCUGAUGUGCGAAAGCGUGGGGAUCAAACAGGAUUAGAUACCCUGGUAGUCCACGCCGUAAACGAUGAGUGCUAAGUGUUAGGGGGUUUCCGCCCCUUAGUGCUGCAGCUAACGCAUUAAGCACUCCGCCUGGGGAGUACGACCGCAAGGUUGAAACUCAAAGGAAUUGACGGGGACCCGCACAAGCGGUGGAGCAUGUGGUUUAAUUCGAAGCAACGCGAAGAACCUUACCAAAUCUUGACAUCCUUUGACAACUCUAGAGAUAGAGCCUUCCCCUUCGGGGGACAAAGUGACAGGUGGUGCAUGGUUGUCGUCAGCUCGUGUCGUGAGAUGUUGGGUUAAGUCCCGCAACGAGCGCAACCCUUAAGCUUAGUUGCCAUCAUUAAGUUGGGCACUCUAAGUUGACUGCCGGUGACAAACCGGAGGAAGGUGGGGAUGACGUCAAAUCAUCAUGCCCCUUAUGAUUUGGGCUACACACGUGCUACAAUGGACAAUACAAAGGGCAGCGAAACCGCGAGGUCAAGCAAAUCCCAUAAAGUUGUUCUCAGUUCGGAUUGUAGUCUGCAACUCGACUACAUGAAGCUGGAAUCGCUAGUAAUCGUAGAUCAGCAUGCUACGGUGAAUACGUUCCCGGGUCU
This 1372-nucleotide ribosomal RNA is filed under the name uncultured bacterium. RNAcentral's name for it is "bacterial SSU rRNA". It matches the Rfam family "Bacterial small subunit ribosomal RNA", at positions 28 to 1381 of the family's 1533-position model. The record is from RNAcentral.